This 497-nucleotide ribosomal RNA is filed under the name uncultured bacterium. Its description in RNAcentral is "partial 16S ribosomal RNA". It matches the Rfam family "Bacterial small subunit ribosomal RNA", at positions 28 to 507 of the family's 1533-position model. The record is from RNAcentral.
GAUGAACGCUGGCGGCGUGCCUAAUACAUGCAAGUCGAGCGAACGGACGAGAAGCUUGCUUUUCUGAUGUUAGCGGCGGACGGGUGAGUAACACGUGGAUAACCUCCCUAUAAGACUGGGAUAACUUCGGGAAACCGGAGCUAAUACCGUAUAAUAUUUUGAACCGCAUGGUUCAAAAGUGAAAGACGGUCUUGCUGUCACUUCUCGAUGGAUCCGCGCUGCAUUAGCUAGUUGGUAAGGUAACGGCUUACCAAGGCAACGAUGCAUAGCCGACCUGAGAGGGUGAUCGGCCACACUGGAACUGAGACACGGUCCAGACGCCUACGGGAGGCAGCAGUAGGGAAUCUUCCGCAAUGGGCGAAAGCCUGACGGAGCAACGCCGCGUGAGUGAUGAAGGUCUUCGGAUCGUAAAACUCUGUUAUUAGGGAAGAACAUAUGUGUAAGGAACUGUGCACAUCUUGACGGUACCUAAUCAGAAAGCAACGGCUAACUACGUG